This 73-nucleotide transfer RNA is filed under the name Rodentolepis nana. RNAcentral's name for it is "Hymenolepis nana tRNA". It matches the Rfam family "tRNA". From Rfam's summary of the family: Transfer RNA (tRNA) molecules are approximately 80 nucleotides in length. The record is from Rfam by way of RNAcentral. Lineage: Eukaryota; Metazoa; Platyhelminthes; Cestoda; Cyclophyllidea; Hymenolepididae.
AAUCUGCUAGCUCAGUUGGUAGAGCACGAGACUCUUCAUCUCGUGGUCGUGGGUUCGGGCCUCAUGUUGGUCG